Molecule: ribosomal RNA, 524 nt
Filed under: uncultured Alternaria
Lineage: Eukaryota; Fungi; Ascomycota; Dothideomycetes; Pleosporales; Pleosporaceae
Description: eukaryotic LSU rRNA
Rfam family: 5.8S ribosomal RNA (bases 166-319)
Source: RNAcentral
CACAAAUAUGAAGGCGGGCUGGAACCUCUCGGGGUUACAGCCUUGCUGAAUUAUUCACCCUUGUCUUUUGCGUACUUCUUGUUUCCUUGGUGGGUUCGCCCACCACUAGGACAAACAUAAACCUUUUGUAAUUGCAAUCAGCGUCAGUAACAAAUUAAUAAUUACAACUUUCAACAACGGAUCUCUUGGUUCUGGCAUCGAUGAAGAACGCAGCGAAAUGCGAUAAGUAGUGUGAAUUGCAGAAUUCAGUGAAUCAUCGAAUCUUUGAACGCACAUUGCGCCCUUUGGUAUUCCAAAGGGCAUGCCUGUUCGAGCGUCAUUUGUACCCUCAAGCUUUGCUUGGUGUUGGGCGUCUUGUCUCUAGCUUUGCUGGAGACUCGCCUUAAAGUAAUUGGCAGCCGGCCUACUGGUUUCGGAGCGCAGCACAAGUCGCACUCUCUAUCAGCAAAGGUCUAGCAUCCAUUAAGCCUUUUUUUCAACUUUUGACCUCGGAUCAGGUAGGGAUACCCGCUGAACUUAAGCAU